This is a long non-coding RNA of Solenopsis invicta (red fire ant), 412 nucleotides long. RefSeq lists it as uncharacterized. The transcript is spliced from 2 exons. The record is from RefSeq and is a predicted model, not a curated record. Lineage: Eukaryota; Metazoa; Arthropoda; Insecta; Hymenoptera; Formicidae.
CCGGAUCUUUUGCCUUUGGAGACUGUGCUUAAAGAAGUUGGAGAAAGAUUGUAUGGAAAAAGUCAGCAGAGGUGAAUGCAGAAGGGAUGGAAGUACGCCGUGGAUCUCCUUUGCAGCAACAAGUUCACAUUGGUAUUACUAAGUAAUCUCUGGAAGGCUGGGUGAAAAGGAGACUAAAAGGGUUAUUAAAGAUGUUAGAAAUAAGAAGCAGGAAAGAGAAGAAAGGAGAAAAAAGGAAGGUAAAAAAAAGAAGCUGAGAAGCAGGAAGGAAGAAACCAAGAAAUGGAAGUACAAAGAAAAAAAGAAUGUGAGAAUACGCGAAAGAAGAAUGUAAAUUAGGAGUUAAGAUGGAAAGAGAAUUAGGCAUAGGCACAGGUAUAGAUAUAGGCAGGGGUGUAGUGUGAUGCAGGGG